GACGAACGCUGGCGGCGUGCUUAACACAUGCAAGUCGAACGCGCCUGUCCUCUGGGUUCCUGGGGGGUGGGUGAGUGGCGAACGGGUGAGUAACACGUGAGUAACCUGCCCCCUUCUUCGGGAUAACGGUCUGAAAGGGCUGCUAAUACCGGGUAUUCACUGGUCUCCGCAUGGGGUCUGGUGGAAAGGUUUUUUUCUGGUGGGGGAUGGGCUCGCAGCCUAUCAGCCUGUUGGUGGGGUGAUGGCCCACCAAGGCCUUGACGGGUAGCCGGCCUGAGAGGGUAAACGGUAACAGUGGGACUGAGAUGCGGCCCAGGCUCCUACGGGGGGGAGAAGUGGGGAAUAUUGCACAAUGGGCGAAGGCCUGAUGCAGCGACGCCGCGGAAGGGAUGGAGGCCUUCGGGUUGUGAACCUCUUUCGCCCGUGGUCAAGCCGCGACGUGGGUCGUGGUGAGGGUAGUGGGUAAAGAAGCGCCGGCUAACUACGUG
This 488-nucleotide ribosomal RNA is filed under the name uncultured bacterium. RNAcentral describes it as "partial 16S ribosomal RNA". It matches the Rfam family "Bacterial small subunit ribosomal RNA", at positions 28 to 507 of the family's 1533-position model. The record is from RNAcentral.